RNAcentral lists this ribosomal RNA (3004 nucleotides) under Salmonella enterica subsp. enterica serovar Adjame. RNAcentral describes it as "23S ribosomal RNA". It matches the Rfam family "Bacterial large subunit ribosomal RNA". The record is from RNAcentral. Lineage: Bacteria; Pseudomonadati; Pseudomonadota; Gammaproteobacteria; Enterobacterales; Enterobacteriaceae.
GGGUUGUGAGGUUAAGCGACUAAGCGUACACGGUGGAUGCCCGGCAGUCAGAGGCGAUGAAGGGCGUGCUAAUCUGCGAUAAGCGCCGGUAAGGUGAUAUGAACCGUUAUAACCGGCGAUACCCGAAUGGGGAAACCCAGUGUGAUUCGUCACACUAUCAUUAACUGAAUCCAUAGGUUAAUGAGGCGAACCGGGGAACUGAAACAUCUAAGUACCCCGAGGAAAAGAAAUCAACCGAGAUUCCCCAGUAGCGGCGAGCGAACGGGGAGGAGCCCAGAGCCUGAAUCAGCAUGUGUGUUAGUGGAAGCGUCUGGAAAGGCGCGCGAUACAGGGUGACAGCCCCGUACACAAAAGCGCAUGUGCUGUGAGCUCGAUGAGUAGGGCGGGACACGUGGUAUCCUGUCUGAAUAUGGGGGACCAUCCUCCAAGGCUAAAUACUCCUGACUGACCGAUAGUGAACCAGUACCGUGAGGGAAAGGCGAAAAGAACCCCGGCGAGGGGAGUGAAAAAGAACCUGAAACCGUGUACGUACAAGCAGUGGGAGCACCCUUCGGGGUGUGACUGCGUACCUUUUGUAUAAUGGGUCAGCGACUUAUAUUCUGUAGCAAGGUUAACCGUAUAGGGGAGCCGCAGGGAAACCGAGUCUUAAUUGGGCGUUAAGUUGCAGGGUAUAGACCCGAAACCCGGUGAUCUAGCCAUGGGCAGGUUGAAGGUUGGGUAACACUAACUGGAGGACCGAACCGACUAAUGUUGAAAAAUUAGCGGAUGACCUGUGGCUGGGGGUGAAAGGCCAAUCAAACCGGGAGAUAGCUGGUUCUCCCCGAAAGCUAUUUAGGUAGCGCCUCGUGAAUUCAUCUCCGGGGGUAGAGCACUGUUUCGGCUAGGGGGCCAUCCCGGCUUACCAACCCGAUGCAAACUGCGAAUACCGGAGAAUGUUAUCACGGGAGACACACGGCGGGUGCUAACGUCCGUCGUGAAGAGGGAAACAACCCAGACCGCCAGCUAAGGUCCCAAAGUCAUGGUUAAGUGGGAAACGAUGUGGGAAGGCCCAGACAGCCAGGAUGUUGGCUUAGAAGCAGCCAUCAUUUAAAGAAAGCGUAAUAGCUCACUGGUCGAGUCGGCCUGCGCGGAAGAUGUAACGGGGCUAAACCAUGCACCGAAGCUGCGGCAGCGAACGUAUCACCCAAGACAACUUUGCGGAGUUGACGAUUGACGGAGCGAAGCGACGUCAAUGCGUUUUACAAAGUCGAGUUGGCUUAGGGAUACGUUCGUUGGGUAGGGGAGCGUUCUGUAAGCCUGUGAAGGUGGCCUGUGAGGGUUGCUGGAGGUAUCAGAAGUGCGAAUGCUGACAUAAGUAACGAUAAAGCGGGUGAAAAGCCCGCUCGCCGGAAGACCAAGGGUUCCUGUCCAACGUUAAUCGGGGCAGGGUGAGUCGACCCCUAAGGCGAGGCCGAAAGGCGUAGUCGAUGGGAAACGGGUUAAUAUUCCCGUACUUGGUGUUACUGCGAAGGGGGGACGGAGAAGGCUAUGUUGGCCGGGCGACGGUUGUCCCGGUUUAAGCGUGUAGGUGUGUGUUCCGGUAAAUCCGGUUCACUUUAACACUGAGGCGUGACGACGAGGCACUACGGUGCUGAAGCAACAAAUGCCCUGCUUCCGUGAAAGCCUCUAAGCAUCAGGUAACAUCAAAUCGUACCCCAAACCGACACAGGUGGUCAGGUAGAGAAUACCAAGGCGCUUGAGAGAACUCGGGUGAAGGAACUAGGCAAAAUGGUGCCGUAACUUCGGGAGAAGGCACGCUGACACGUAGGUGAAGUGAUUUACUCAUGGAGCUGAAGUCAGUCGAAGAUACCAGCUGGCUGCAACUGUUUAUUAAAAACACAGCACUGUGCAAACACGAAAGUGGACGUAUACGGUGUGACGCCUGCCCGGUGCCGGAAGGUUAAUUGAUGGGGUCAGCGCAAGCGAAGCUCCUGAUCGAAGCCCCGGUAAACGGCGGCCGUAACUAUAACGGUCCUAAGGUAGCGAAAUUCCUUGUCGGGUAAGUUCCGACCUGCACGAAUGGCGUAAUGAUGGCCAGGCUGUCUCCACCCGAGACUCAGUGAAAUUGAACUCGCUGUGAAGAUGCAGUGUACCCGCGGCAAGACGGAAAGACCCCGUGAACCUUUACUAUAGCUUGACACUGAACAUUGAGCCUUGAUGUGUAGGAUAGGUGGGAGGCUUUGAAGUGUGGACGCCAGUCUGCAUGGAGCCGACCUUGAAAUACCACCCUUUAAUGUUUGAUGUUCUAACGUGGACCCGUAAUCCGGGUUGCGGACAGUGUCUGGUGGGUAGUUUGACUGGGGCGGUCUCCUCCUAAAGAGUAACGGAGGAGCACGAAGGUUGGCUAAUCUCGGUCGGACAUCAGGAGGUUAGUGCAAUGGCAUAAGCCAGCUUGACUGCGAGCGUGACGGCGCGAGCAGGUGCGAAAGCAGGUCAUAGUGAUCCGGUGGUUCUGAAUGGAAGGGCCAUCGCUCAACGGAUAAAAGGUACUCCGGGGAUAACAGGCUGAUACCGCCCAAGAGUUCAUAUCGACGGCGGUGUUUGGCACCUCGAUGUCGGCUCAUCACAUCCUGGGGCUGAAGUAGGUCCCAAGGGUAUGGCUGUUCGCCAUUUAAAGUGGUACGCGAGCUGGGUUUAGAACGUCGUGAGACAGUUCGGUCCCUAUUCGCCGUGGGCGCUGGAGAACUGAGGGGGCUGCUCCUAGUACGAGAGGACCGGAGUGGACGCAUCACUGGUGUUCGGGUUGUCAUGCCAAUGGCACUGCCCGGUAGCUAAAUGCGGAAGAGAUAAGUGCUGAAAGCAUCUAAGCACGAAACUUGCCCCGAGAUGAGUUCUCCCUGAGACUUAGAGUCUCCUGAAGGAACGUUGAAGACGACGACGUUGAUAGGCCGGGUGUGUAAGCGCAGCGAUGCGUUGAGCUAACCGGUACUAAUGAACCGUGAGGCUUAACCUUACAACGCCGAAG